GAUGCGAGCGUUAUCCGGAUUUAUUGGGUUUAAAGGGUGCGUAGGCGGAUUCUCAAGUCAGCGGUCAAAACCCGGGGCUCAACCCCGGCCUGCCGUUGAAACUGCCGGUCUUGAGUGAGCGAGAAGUAUGCGGAAUGCGUGGUGUAGCGGUGAAAUGCAUAGAUAUCACGCAGAACUCCGAUUGCGAAGGCAGCAUACCGGCGCUCAACUGACGCUGAGGCACGAAAGCGUGGGGAUC
RNAcentral lists this ribosomal RNA (238 nucleotides) under uncultured bacterium. RNAcentral's name for it is "partial 16S ribosomal RNA". It matches the Rfam family "Bacterial small subunit ribosomal RNA", at positions 531 to 769 of the family's 1533-position model. The record is from RNAcentral.